UGCAGUCGACGCUGAAGCUUGGUGCUUGCACUGGGUGGAUGAGUGGCGAACGGGUGAGUAAUACGUGAGUAACCUGCCCUUGACUCUGGGAUAAGCCUGGGAAACUGGGUCUAAUACUGGAUACGACAUGUCACCGCAUGGUGGUGUGUGGAAAGGGUUUUACUGGUUUUGGAUGGGCUCACGGCCUAUCAGCUUGUUGGUGGGGUAAUGGCUCACCAAGGCGACGACGGGUAGCCGGCCUGAGAGGGUGACCGGCCACACUGGGACUGAGACACGGCCCAGACUCCUACGGGAGGCAGCAGUGGGGAAUAUUGCACAAUGGGCGGAAGCCUGAUGCAGCGACGCCGCGUGAGGGAUGACGGCCUUCGGGUUGUAAACCUCUUUCAGCACGGAAGAAGCGAAAGUGACGGUACGUGCAGAAGAAGCGCCGGCUAACUACGUGCCAGCAGCCGCGGUAAUACGUAGGGCGCAAGCGUUGUCCGGAAUUAUUGGGCGUAAAGAGCUCGUAGGCGGUUUGUCGCGUCUGCUGUGAAAGCCCGGGGCUUAACCCCGGGUGUGCAGUGGGUACGGGCAGACUUGAGUGCAGUAGGGGAGACUGGAAUUCCUGGUGUAGCGGUGAAAUGCGCAGAUAUCAGGAGGAACACCGAUGGCGAAGGCAGGUCUCUGGGCUGUUACUG
This 677-nucleotide ribosomal RNA is filed under the name Kocuria marina. Its description in RNAcentral is "bacterial SSU rRNA". It matches the Rfam family "Bacterial small subunit ribosomal RNA", at positions 56 to 742 of the family's 1533-position model. Lineage: Bacteria; Bacillati; Actinomycetota; Actinomycetes; Micrococcales; Micrococcaceae. The record is from RNAcentral.